RNAcentral lists this unclassified non-coding RNA (231 nucleotides) under uncultured fungus. RNAcentral describes it as "sequence contains ITS1". The record is from RNAcentral. Lineage: Eukaryota; Fungi.
GUUUUUGGUUGUACAUUGUACAAUAGACAUUCCAUUACAUUCAGAGUGUGUGAAAGUUACUCGAGUACCAGGGCGUUUGACAGCCCAUGCAAGCGGUACUCAGAGUCAUAGAUGCACAGGUGUGUGGGGUUUGCGACUUUGUCGACGUGCACAUGUGUCUCCACCAGCACAGACGACCAAGCCGACUUUGAAGUUUCAUUAAUGAUCCUUCCGCAGGUUCACCUACGGAAA